CCGUGCUGAGCGGGGAAUUAGCGGUGCCCUGUACCCGCAAUCCGCUCUAGCGGGGCUGAACGCCCUCCCGAGGAUCCGGCCUUCGGGGCCAGUACGCCGCGGGCAGCGUUGACGGCCAGGUCCCGCGCAACGACAGCCCGUGAAUCAGGUCAGGUCCGGAAGGAAGCAGCCUUAAGCGAUCGCCGUCGAGUGCCGCGGAUCAGCCUGACCUGAGCACGCCACGGCGGGCACGCCCGGAGGCUCUCUUACAAAGGAGGGCCGCACGG
Molecule: signal recognition particle RNA, 266 nt
Filed under: Solirubrobacterales bacterium
Lineage: Bacteria; Bacillati; Actinomycetota; Thermoleophilia; Solirubrobacterales
Also listed under: 1 other name
Description: signal recognition particle sRNA large type
Rfam family: Bacterial large signal recognition particle RNA
About the family: The signal recognition particle (SRP) is a universally conserved ribonucleoprotein involved in the co-translational targeting of proteins to membranes. Archaeal SRP consists of a 7S RNA and homologues of the eukaryotic SRP19 and SRP54 proteins.
Source: RNAcentral